CCUACGGGGGGCAGCAGUGGGGAAUCUUGCGCAAUGGCCGAAAGGCUGACGCAGCGACGCCGCGUGGAGGAUGACGCCCUUCGGGGUGUAAACUCCUGUUGCCCGGGACGAACGACCUGUUUCGACAGGUGUGACGGUACCGGGUGAGGAAGCACCGGCUAACUCUGUGCCAGCAGCCGCGGUAAUACAGAGGGUGCGAGCGUUGUCCGUAGUCACUGGGCGUACGGGGGGGGCUGGCGGCGGGGUUGGCGAAAGUCCGGGGCUCAACCCCGGAUCGGCCAUGCGAACUGUCCAGCUGGAGCACGGUAGAGGCACAUGGAAUUCCGGGUGUAGCGGUGGAAUGCGUAGAGAUCCGGAAGAACACCGGUGGCGAAGGCGGUGUGCUGGGCCGUAGCUGACGCUGAGGCGCGACAGCGUGGGGAGCAAACAGGAUUAGAUACCCCGGUAGUC
RNAcentral lists this ribosomal RNA (450 nucleotides) under uncultured bacterium. Its description in RNAcentral is "partial 16S ribosomal RNA". It matches the Rfam family "Bacterial small subunit ribosomal RNA", at positions 338 to 795 of the family's 1533-position model. The record is from RNAcentral.